AUCUGGGCGGCGGAAUUCAAGACGGCUGGCGGGUCUCGCGCUCGUUCGGCCGUUUGAUAUUUCCGUCGCCGUGUCAGACGUCGCGACCUGUUUGUCGUCGGUCCUUGCUCGGAGGAAUUGCGAUCGAGUUCGUUGCGGGCGCGUUUCGGCGUGCUUCGCGGCGAAGACGCGACUCUCUGGCCGACGACGGACAGUAAGCAACGGUGUCUGGCGCCGUGUCUCGCACUCGGCGUCGGUGCCGGUCAGCGGCGAUUUCUUCGGGCCUCUUUCCGACCCGUCUUGAAACACGGACCAAGGAGUCUAACAUGCGCGCGAGUCGCGGGGUUUCGAGCGUACCACGGUGCGCUCGUUACUUCCGAAACCCGUACGUUGAAGGCGUAAUGAAAGUGAACAGGGAAGAUGGCGUUCCGAGACCACGUACCGUGAUCGAGUAUCGCGGCCGGACGUCCGCACUCCCGGGGCGUCUCAAUGGUUCGCCACGGAUGCGGACGAUCGUCUUUCGGGGCGGUGGUCGGUCUGUGGCGGUCCGA
This 530-nucleotide ribosomal RNA is filed under the name Chionaspis pinifoliae. Its description in RNAcentral is "eukaryotic LSU rRNA". The record is from RNAcentral. Lineage: Eukaryota; Metazoa; Arthropoda; Insecta; Hemiptera; Diaspididae.